Molecule: transfer RNA, 73 nt
Filed under: Ailuropoda melanoleuca (giant panda)
Lineage: Eukaryota; Metazoa; Chordata; Mammalia; Carnivora; Ursidae
Rfam family: tRNA
About the family: Transfer RNA (tRNA) molecules are approximately 80 nucleotides in length. Their secondary structure includes four short double-helical elements and three loops (D, anti-codon, and T loops). Further hydrogen bonds mediate the characteristic L-shaped molecular structure. tRNAs have two regions of fundamental functional importance: the anti-codon, which is responsible for specific mRNA codon recognition, and the 3' end, to which the tRNAs corresponding amino acid is attached (by aminoacyl-tRNA synthetases). tRNAs cope with the degeneracy of the genetic code in two manners: having more than one tRNA (with a specific anti-codon) for a particular amino acid; and 'wobble' base-pairing, i.e. permitting non-standard base-pairing at the 3rd anti-codon position.
Source: Rfam by way of RNAcentral
ACCUAGCUGGCUCAGUCAGUGGAGCAUGUGACUCUUGAUCUCGGGGUUGUGAGUUCGAGCCCCAUGUUGGGUG